UGGGGUUUUGGGCUUUGGAGGCAACUCACAAAGUGAUGGCUGUCAAGGGAAGAGGAGAAGAGUGGCAGUAGUGAUCAAGAUGAGAACCAAAUGGGGCAUUGAUGGAAGCAAGGGAGGCAAAAUUGCUUUUCUACAAGCAAAAACUAUUGUCAAUGAUCAUGGGCCCCUUGGAUGUGUAAUGCAAAAUCCAAUUCUGUCACUCUUUAUAUAAUAAUAACAAUAUUGAUAUUUUUAUGUCUUUGUAGGAAAACCCACUACAACACAACAUCCCACACGGAGCUGUGAGUUCCACAGGACUCUUUUCAGUUGGAGCAGAAGUUCAAAACUCACAACACAUCAAACACAUGGGUAGCCCUCACUUUCUAAUGCCAAAAACAAAGAAAAGAAAAGAAAAGAAAAGACAAGAAAAAGUAUACAACUAUAAAUACAAACAAAGGGGAAGAUAGUGGAGUUGGAACUUAAGUGCUUCUAACUCACUCCUCGUCAUUCCCCUCC
This 495-nucleotide long non-coding RNA is filed under the name Physcomitrium patens. RNAcentral's name for it is "long non-coding RNA (PPAT_LNC006125)". The record is from RNAcentral. Lineage: Eukaryota; Viridiplantae; Streptophyta; Bryopsida; Funariales; Funariaceae.